Mus musculus (house mouse) is the source of this 821-nucleotide RNA transcript. It is a transcript of the gene named RIKEN cDNA 1700049L16 gene, with no coding region annotated. The transcript has a single exon. Lineage: Eukaryota; Metazoa; Chordata; Mammalia; Rodentia; Muridae. The record is from RefSeq and is marked validated.
AGAGAAUCCCUGGUUACAGAAGCAAGCUCACUCACGGUGGCAGCUGUUGAAGUGUGGGGGCCGCGGUCGACAUGUUCCAGGGCAUGGACAGCCACUCUGGCGGGUUGGGCUCCAGAUCCAUGAAGCCACCAGGAGGAGAAUCGAGUGAUCUUUUUGGAAGUCUAGAAGAACGCCUUCCUUCAACACGCAAACCAAAUAGGAUGGCAUCCAAUAUUUUUGGACCACCUGAAGAGCCUAAAAAUAUACCCAAGAGGACAAAUCCACCAGGGGGCAAAGGAAGUGGGAUUUUUGAUGAAUCAACUCCUGUAAAAACUCGCCAACGUCUGAAUCCACCCGGUGGGAAGACCAGUGACAUAUUUGGGUCCCCAAUUACUGCCACUGCACCUCUGGCACACCCAAACAAGCCCAAGGAUCAUGUUUUGCUAUGUGAAGGCGAAGACUCUAAAUCCGACCUGAACGCAGCAACAAACGCCACACCCAGGGGAGAGCAUGCAAAGAAACCGGAGCUAACACCUACAGUUGACAAUCAUGAGCCCAGACUGGGGCCAAGACCUCGCUCCCACAACAAAGUUCUGAACCCACCAGGAGGCAAAUCCAGCAUCUCCUUCUAUUGAGAGGUUCCUGCUCUGCCUGUAACUAGAUUGGACACUCAGAGACAGGGUAUUGAAUGUUAGUGUUUCCUUUAACCCGAAUGAGUUAGGGGUGGGAGAGGGUUUGUCAUGCACGUGGGAUUGGCUGCUCAUAGGCCUUGCUGUCAUUGGAAGAGCUGCCCAGAGGACUGUGCCUUCUAGACUGCCAAGAUAUAAAUCUUCGGUGAAAAA